This 253-nucleotide ribosomal RNA is filed under the name uncultured bacterium. RNAcentral describes it as "partial 16S ribosomal RNA". It matches the Rfam family "Bacterial small subunit ribosomal RNA", at positions 524 to 776 of the family's 1533-position model. The record is from RNAcentral.
UACGGAGGGUGCGAGCGUUGUCCGGAAUUAUUGGGCGUAAAGAGCUCGUAGGCGGCCUGUCGCGUCUGCUGUGAAAUCCCGGGGCUUAACCCCGGGCGUGCAGUGGAUACGGGCUGGCUGGAGGCAGGCAGGGGAGAACGGAAUUCCCGGUGUAGCGGUGAAAUGCGCAGAUAUCGGGAGGAACACCGGUGGCGAAGGCGGUUCUCUGGGCCUGUACUGACGCUGAGGAGCGAAAGCGUGGGGAGCGAACAGG